This 406-nucleotide ribosomal RNA is filed under the name uncultured bacterium. Its description in RNAcentral is "partial 16S ribosomal RNA". It matches the Rfam family "Bacterial small subunit ribosomal RNA", at positions 30 to 526 of the family's 1533-position model. The record is from RNAcentral.
AUUGAACGCUGGCGGCAGGCCUAACACAUGCAAGUCGAGCGAGCGGCGGACGGGUGAGUAAUGUAUGGGGAUCUGCCCGAUGGAGGGGGAUAACUACUGGAAACGGUGGUUAAUACCGCAUACCAUCGGAUGUACCCAUAUGGGAUUAGCUAGUGGGUGGGGUAAAGGCUCACCUAGGCGACGAUCUCUAGCUGGUCUGAGAGGAUGACCAGCCACACUGGAACUGAGACACGGCCCAGACUCCUACGGGAGGCAGCAGUGGGGAAUAUUGCACAAUGGGCGCAAGCCUGAUGCAGCCAUGCCGCGUGUAUGAAGAAGGCCUUCGGGUUGUAAAGUACUUUCAGCGGGGAGGCGUUACCCGCAGAAGAAGCACCGGCUAACUCCGUGCCAGCAGCCGCGGUAAUAC